This 72-nucleotide transfer RNA is filed under the name Actinomycetota bacterium. RNAcentral's name for it is "Actinobacteria bacterium tRNA-Thr". It matches the Rfam family "tRNA". Rfam says of the family: Transfer RNA (tRNA) molecules are approximately 80 nucleotides in length. Their secondary structure includes four short double-helical elements and three loops (D, anti-codon, and T loops). The record is from RNAcentral. Lineage: Bacteria; Bacillati; Actinomycetota.
GCCUUGAUGGUGUAACGGCAGCACACUGAUUUCGUCAUUUCAGAGGUGCCGGUUCGAUUCCGGCUUAGGGCU